Molecule: ribosomal RNA, 480 nt
Filed under: uncultured bacterium
Lineage: Bacteria
Description: bacterial SSU rRNA
Rfam family: Bacterial small subunit ribosomal RNA
Source: RNAcentral
GACGAACGCUGGCGGCGUGCUUAAGACAUGCAAGUCGAACGGGGUCCAUCCUUCGGGAGAAGACCUAGUGGCGAACGGGUGAGUAACACGUGAGCAAUCUGCCCCGAAGUCAGGGAUAAGCGAGAGAAAUUUCGUCUAAUACCUGAUGUCGUCUUUUCACCUCAUGGUGAGUUGACGAAAGAUUUAUCGCUUCGGGAGGAGCUCGCGGCCUAUCAGCUUGUUGGUGGGGUAACGGCCUACCAAGGCGUCGACGGGUAACUGGUCUGAGAGGAUGAUCAGUCACACUGGGACUGAGAUACGGCCCAGACUCCUACGGGAGGCAGCAGUUAGGAAUCUUGCGCAAUGGGCGAAAGCCUGACGCAGCAACGCCGCGUGAGGGAUGAAGGCUCUCGGGUUGUAAACCUCUUUCAGCAGGAACGAAAUUGACGGUACCUGCAGAAGAAGCUCCGGCCAACUACGUGCCAGCCGCCGCCGUAAAAC